Molecule: long non-coding RNA, 6863 nt
Filed under: Triticum aestivum (bread wheat)
Lineage: Eukaryota; Viridiplantae; Streptophyta; Magnoliopsida; Poales; Poaceae
Description: long non-coding RNA (TAES_LNC018764)
Rfam family: MIR1120/MIR1122 microRNA precursor family (bases 391-525)
Source: RNAcentral
AAAUUUCACAUAUUAACAGAUGAGAUUUAAAAAAAUGUAGCGUUACUUAUAAAUAUUACCAUGUACAAAUAGUUUAACAUGUCACAUAUCAUUCUAAAAAAAAAAGUACAGAUAGAUCAAUGCCUUUCUAUGGUAGCCAUCUUAUGGUAGACUAAAAAAAGAAUCCAAAUAAAAAAAAGACCCUAAGAAAGAGUCUAAUCAAAAUACAUGUGAUUAUGUUCAAUACCAAAUGGAGAAGUCGGACUCCUGCUUCUUUCUUAUAACUUACUCAGCUCUUUAAAAAAAAACUUUGUGUACUUGGAUUGGAAAAUAGAUUUGUAGUAUACAUACCAGAAAAAACGGGGCAAAGAUCAAUUGGUCUAGAUUAUAAUGGUUGAGAUCUAAAGUCUAAUAAUACUCCCUCCGCCCGAAAAUACUUGUCAUCAAAAUGGACAAAAAAGAAUGUAUCUAGAACUAAAAUACGUCUAGAUAUGUCUUCUUUUGUCCAUUUUGAUGACAAGUAUUUCUGAACGGAGGGAGUAGUUAUGUAUCAUGUAAUUUUUUGGAAGGUAAAAAAAAAAUUAGUUUUAGUUCUUCGCCUUCUGGGCAAAGGCCGUGACGCAAGACCCUUAGGUUCUUGUCGCUAGUCCUGGCCUUCUCCUUCCUGAGCCAAGCAAAGGAAGCAAGCAAACGAACCGGGCGAUGCAGUGUUGAGCUACACAGGAAGAGCAAGUCAGGGGAGGAAAUCCAAACCAGAUCAAAGCACAAAAUCGGUAAAUAAGCCAUCCAUCUCACUGGUCCUGUCUACAAAAGCAAUUUUCCUCAUGUCCCAGGUUGGCAACCAAUUUGUUCCACAUACCAACACGAACCUCGAGCCAGAGCCUAAGAUACCAAUGUAAGAUCUCUGAAAUAAUUAUAGGAAAUGGACAUUGUAGGUUUUAAAUAAUGCUAAAUUGCACGGUAAAACUCAGGAGCGUGUAUUAUUUCUUCUUGAUAUUCCUCAAAAUUAAAUUCAUCUGUUGAACUAAGAGAUACAAAAUAAGGCAUCAAUUUGAGAAAUCCAAACGAUGAGGAUGAGCCAUCUAGCAUAACGCGUACGCGCACACACACAUAGAGAGAAGAAAAGCAAAGCAUGAAGGAAGAGAAGUGAAUAUAAAUCAACACAUCCAUAAGGUUGACUACAUGGGAAAGUUGUACUUGAAAUACAUCCAUAAGGAAGUUGACUAAAAGGUGAACAAUCUACUAAAAAAUAUGCAUAUAUAUUUUUACGAUAAAGGGUGUUUUAUUGACUCAUAAUAUAGCAUCGAGGGAUACAAUUACAAUGAGCCACACCCGGCCUCUGCAUAACUUGGAUGCACACAGCCAACACACACCAAAGGAUCACGUUGGCAAAAAGCUAAGUCAUACAAGACCGAAUUUAUGCCUAAGUGAAAAGUAAAAGAAAGAAAAAAGAAGUCAUGAAGCGAUACAAACAGCGAUUGACGAUGUACAACGAUAACCAUCGGCACCAACUAUGUCAUGAGAACACAAGGACCACGAAAACGGUUCUUCAAAAGCGACGCCUCCAAGUCAGAUAGUAGGUUUUCACCCUGAAGAUCAAGUCCGACAAAAUUCCGAGCAAUGCCUUCGUCAAGGUAACGACGCCAAAAAUGCCGUCAUUGCCAGGCAUAACCGAUAAGAGGCUAGACCUAGGGUUUUCACCCUGGAGCUCAAGACCAGGUACUCGAGAUGCACCACCCAAUCGAAUCCGUCCUGUGUUAUCUCAUCCACUUGCCACUGAGCCCAGUUGUUGCAAACACGCACUGACCUGACGGCAGGUGAGCAUGCCCACAUGAGCAAGCAACUAAACCGCUACAAGAGCUGCUCACCACGACACGAUAGACAUUGACGGAAGAGGAAGGUGACUGGCACCGCUUAAAUCCCAAUGGGAUGCUCGAGAGGCCAAGUACUAUCUUCCGAGGAGCAACUGAUGGCUAAUCUGAAUUAGACAACACCACCAUGGGUCGCCACAAGCUCCAUCGUCCUUGCCCAUGAAGGCCCAGAUCCACGGCACGACGCCUCCUUGCCGGCGGCACGGGUGACGGCUGCGGCAACCGCUACUUGUUCAUCGACACAUCCCAUCCAGCCCCUAUGCGGGAGAGGGGGACCACCAGCCGCGUCGGUCCAUGACGAGCUGGCUCUCCAUGACGGGAUGCAGGGAGGCGGUGGCUCCCUUUCCUCUGCCGCACGCAACGAGGCAGCGAUUACUGCAGAUCCAUGUCGCCAUUGCAAGCAGCACCUCCAUNNNNNNNNNNNNNNNNNNNNNNNNNNNNNNNNNNNNNNNNNNNNNNNNNNNNNNNNNNNNNNNNNNNNNNNNNNNNNNNNNNNNNNNNNNNNNNNNNNNNNNNNNNNNNNNNNNNNNNNNNNNNNNNNNNNNNNNNNNNNNNNNCUUUAUGCACAAAUCGAUUUCUCAUCGUAACAACAUGAAGGAGAAACUCAACCAAGCAAAACAGAAAAGAGAAACAAGAUAUAAAAACAUGACUAAACCAUACGUCACUUCAAUGCAAAUUAGGGAUGAUCGUGAGCAUCCCACAUUCACCCAAAUGACUACAUAAACACAUAGUGGAUGUAGCAUUUGUCUUACCAAGAUAAACGAAAACAGGGACCUGAUCUUUGUUGCUCAAAUCGGUAGCUUUUUUAUACUGGAAAAAGCCUUUCCAUUAACCAACAACCAUAGCUAAAUCAUUGUUCAUGCACCUUGCCAAGUAGAACAAACAUUUGCUUGCCAAACAAAGCUCAGGGUUUGCAUAUUAAGCUGCAGUGCAUUGGGCAACAGACAAGCAAUUGGGUAUUAUUAAUUGAUGAGACUGUAGUAUGUACCUCAGGUGUAGCAUGGGCAGAAGAAGUUCCGACAGACGGUGGAGCACGGACAGAUAGAUUUCCAGCAAAGUCGAUGGUGUAUAAGCACGCGAUGUUGGUAACUUGCGGCACGAUUAUAUUGGGCAAGCAACUUGCGAUGUGAUCUAUUUGCUUCCGGUCGAGGGGUUCCAUAGAACCAAGAAACACGCCGGACUUCUCUUUUGGUGUCAUAUAAAUCCCCAUACAUACUGAAGAAGGAAGUUUCCUAAAGAGAAGUAAGUUUAUUUCAGAAAGAAUGUGUAGCAAAAGCUGUUCGCUCUUUAUAAGCAAGUGGCCAAGUGCAAUGUGUGCCUCGGUUCUUCAAUACUUGUAUGCCACACAUGAAUAUAUUGGAUGUUUGACUGAAAGUUAACUUGCAGGUCAAUACAUAUCAUUAAAAUCUCUAAGAUUUAUGUUAUAACCUACUGGUAGUUUUUGAGAUUAAAGGUGAGAUUAAGAGCAUAUGCCCUUCUGUUUCAAUACCACUAAAUUGUGUCUCAGUCUUUUGUGGGUAGCAUCGAGAGUAAAAGACCAACGAGUGCAAGAAUUGGAACAUAGAAGAAUCUUACCUGGGCAUGAUGCCAUCAGGUUCUAUGCCAAGAUCGAGGUAGUAGAGCUCCCUCAAUCUCUCUUGCCAAGCCCUCCCUUUGACCAUCAAUAGAACAGUCGCUCUCGCUUGCCCUGCUUUUGAAAUCUCCUUCUGCACCGCUGCAGAUCAGUUGGCAGCAUAGGCCGAGCUCUCCCACCUAUCAUCACGUUGAGCGCAUCUAUGCUUACUUCCCUUGUAUCAUCACAACGGAUGCUAUAAAUUUGCUUGUGUCCUUGUCAUAAAUCUGAGUUCUGCACAAUAUGAAAAAGAAAGAAAGUCUGUUAAUACAACAUAAUGAUAGUUCCAAGGAAACAUGUACUACGCCGAAACUGGCCAUGAUAGUACGGAUGUCAUGUGGAUGGACGUAAUUGUGCAGGAAUAACCGGGAAGAGUACUCGGAUAUCGACAACCACCGGAGAGAUCAGUGCACCCUACUUUAAACGUAGUUUCCUGGUGUCGCCACGGUGGUUGAUGUUGCAGCAGUACCUGAGUCUUACCUCGAACUCCAAAGAACAUGGCGCCCCCGACAACGCCCGAGGAUGCAGGGAGAGCACGGAGACCGCUCGGCCAAACGGGUUCAACGCCACGUUCAGCAGGAACAGGUACUGCCGGCAUUGGGCACGGGCCGAGAAGGCGUUGAAGCCGUCACAGAGCUGGACCUCGAUGCACGCCCAGGCCCAAGCUCGGUCAUGCACGGCCACCCGUGCGUGUCGGCAAAGUGGUCCAGGAGUGCCGCCGUGGAGCUAGCGAAACCGCAGUCUGCCUGCGGGCAAUAGCACGGCGUCGUGAGGGCACGCCUUGAGGUGGUCGGGGUGGUCAUAGUAGGCCGGCGUGGCAGUGCAGCCGUGGGCGGCGUUGGCGCACGGCACCCGGAUGGACUCUAUUAGCCUCUCCAGUGCGAUGUUCCAGCGAUAGCCGCCGGUCAACCGGAUGUGACACACACGGCACCUCCUUGCCGCCACCAUCUUGUCGUGGCACCGCGAGGAUAUGGUAUGACCGACGCCACACUGCACCCGAGCAGAAAUGAUGUUCCAGUGUUAUUGGUACACAAACUUGUAAUGGAUCGGCCUAGGAUGGACGACGAGCGUACGCACCUAGAAGACUGGUGGCUUGAGAGGGAGGUAGCAGAUGCCGCAGUUGAGGGUAUCGUCGCCAUCCACUAUCACGUUUGCGAGCGCCAUGCGCUUCGCCGCCGGCUCCAUCGUACCUGGAACCCGAGAUUGCCGUCGUUGUUCUUGUUCUUCUUCUCUUGUUUUUUUCCUAUGGAAAUACUAACAUCGUCUCCUCCCUCGUCGGAGGUCUCGGGCCAACACCUUGAAUCCGUGGGCGCUCCUCGUGAUGCCACAAACCCUCGCCGCCGACUGCCUCACACGGAUGGCCGUCCCAUCCCACAUCCUGACCUUGUACCGCACUGCCGACACCAGCACCACCGAUCACCGUUCCCAGCCCCAUCGCUGCCAUCACAAAUUAAAUAGGUACAUAAAUGCUUUCAUCAUGAGGUUUAUUUGUCAUGAUAGGUAUAUGCACGUGUGUUGCACCGGAAGUUGAUUUUUUUAAGCAACAGGGGAACAUAUGGGCACACAUCAUGAUGCAAAUCAAAUAACAAAAAGGAGAUUAUGUUUUGGUUAUGAAGCAUAGAGCUUCUGACAACUUUGUCCUGAGAUAUACUAAAGCCAAAGAAUAUCAUAGAGGGAAAUCAAAUUAUCUGAACGACAUGAUGUUAUUUCACAAAAUAAGUUAAAUUUACAUUUAAAUUUUAAAAUUACCAAUUGGUCAUCUUUACAUGUAAAUAAAAAGGUGGGAGUCAAUAUUACAAUACGCUUACCAAAAAUGUUCCUCUACAAAAAAUUAUCAUGAAGAAUCACCUGCCAAGAAUAAAAACUGAGAGCAAGUCUGCAAAAUAACAAAUUGUUAACAAUACAUUCAGUAAUAUAAAUCUCACUGUUCUUGCACACCCUUCAGAGCAUACCAAUUUUUCCCUUCAGACUAUACUCUCGUCUAUGAACAGAAAAAGAAAACCAUAGAAACUAAGUUCAAGUCUGCAGAAUAACACAAAGAAUCACUAACAGUUCAGUACCAUGUGAAUGGAGACAUACCAUACCAUCCUUUUUACCUUCUGACUGCACUUCUAUUUGUGAGAAUUCCAGUAAGUAGAUGGCAAUUUAGCAAAAUACAACCAUUGGAAUAUGGGAAGCCGUAUAAACUGAAUUAUGUAGAUAAUAUCACAUGUGCAUUAUUGGCCUCUCAGAUGGAACAAAACUGAAUACUACCCAAAACAACACACAAAUCUGACUAACAAUUUUAAAAUUUCAUAUCUCUUCUAUACUACCUAAUAAAUUCAAGUUGUAUACACCUUUUUCAAUUGCACAAAAAUUUAAUUCAGUUUCUAAAGUCUGCAAUACCCCCAUAAUUCUAAACAGUCUGCAAUACCCCCAUUACUAACUCUAGUUCAGCAAAUCCCUGAGGAAGAGUCAUUGGUGAGGAUGGGCUAACUCCGCUAUAUACCAUAACUAUUCUCAACUACCAUAUCCAGAAAAAGUAUUGUCAAUUUGAGAGGAUACCGAAAUUGAGUUACAAAUAGAAAUAACAAAAGUAAAAUGUCAAGCAUAAGUAGUCUAUUCAGAGGAAUCAUUCCCAAAAGAAAUUCUGAGCUGAACACCAGAGCACAGCGAGUUGUGACAACUCACAUCCCAAAUGAUAGCAGAUUUAUUUAAACUGCCAGUAGCAUCACAGUACAGACGUUAAAACCAGUAGCAUUAUAGGAACACUGUACAGUCAGUUCCUGCAUGCAUACCUGCCGGUAACCUUGAUACCAUCACCGCUCACACUCCUCUGUGUGUCCUUCAUCGUCAUCUUUCCUUCGUCAAACAAAUCCAGCAAACGCACACAAUCGAAUCACCUAAUGCUUCGGCAACUCCAACAGCACGUUGUUGCUCCAAGCAAUCAGUGAACACCACGGAGAGGGGCGUACUUGGAUCCUAAACUCCAAGCAAACAAUUAAUUAAGAUCCCUUGCACACACACACACACACACCGAGAGAGAGAGAGAGAGAGAGAGAGAGAUCAGGGUAUCCCAGGGUGAGGGAUGAGAGGAGCUGACCUACGGAGCGCGGCGCCAGCAGGUUUGGGGAUCGCGAGCAGGCGGCCUUCAUCCGCGGCAGCGUGCGUGGGCGAGCAGGGGAUCGGCGUUGUUUUCCGGAGGGGAUCGGCGGCGGCGGCGAUCCAGAACUGAUGACGAGGGCGAGAUCCGGCGGGGUCUUCUCGAGUCGUCCGCCAGCGGCGAGAUCCGACGGGGCCGAUGGGAUCGAGAGACGCGGCGGCGGCGACUCCCCUCGAACGGCGGCGGCCACGAACGAUGGGAUCGAGAGGAGUGGGCAAGGAAGGUUGGGCUGGAUGGAGUAUUUUUUUUUCUGGGUGCG